GGGACCCUCGAAUACAGGGAAUCACAGCUCAACAGGAACAGAGCCACUGCUGGAGUCUGUUAAGAUCAAUUAAAAGUUAUUAUAUAGGAAGAAAACAUAUAACACAUCAAAUGAAGAGAAGUACAAUGGAGGAAAAAAACAAAACAGGAUAAAGAAUACAAGGGAUAGGUGUGGCGUUGCUAUUUUAUAAAGGAUGGCCAACAAAAGCCCACCAAUAGGUGACAUUUUAGCAGAGAAUGUAAAGAAAAGAAAUGGAAGCACCGGAAGAGUGUUACAGGCAGUGGGAAGAGCAAGUUUAAAGGCCUUAAAACAUAUAACUUUAGAAAAUGAUUUAAAAACAAAAUAAACAACCUGAGUAAACUUAUAACCAUUAAGCAGACUGAAGUAAUGAUUACACCCAAAUAGGGAUAAGGAGCCCUUACAAUAUGGUUUUAAAGCUAACUCCCAUGAAACAUUCAAGAAAUAGAUACAUGUAAUCAUAUAAAGUCUUUCAGAAAAUAGAAAAAAAAAGGCAACACUCUCCUAUUUAUUUUAUGAGACUAGUAUACCCCUGAUACCAAACUAGCAUCGUGCAGUAAAAGAAAAGAAACUCACAGGCCUAUCUCAAAUAGAAACAGAAAUGCAAAAAUUCUAAACAAAAUAUUAGAAAAUCAAAACACAAAUGUAUAAAAAAGGAAAAAUGAAAUCAUGAUCUGUUUGGGUUUAUCCCAGAAAUACAAACAUGGCUCAACAUUGAAAAACCCCAUCAACAUAAUUAAAUCCAUUAACAUAAUACAUAAAAAAGCAUAUGACCAUCCCAAUAGAUACAGUAAAAACACUCAGUGAAAUUCAACACCCAUUCAUAACAAAACUUAUAACUAAGAAUAGAAGACCUCUAUAACUCAAUGCAACAAAUAUCAUACUUAAUUAUGAAAUAUAAAAAGCAAACUUUUAAAACCAGAAAUUAGACAGGAGUGCCCACUAUUUGUUUCUAUUCAAUAGCGUUAUAGACGCUCAGCAAAAAUAAUGAGAAAAGAUGAAGUGAGUAGAUAAGAAUUUGGAAAUGAAGGAAAAAACCCUACCUUAAUUCACAAAGAAAACCACAGGGAAUCUAUAGACAUAUUAUUUAAAAAAGAAUAGGUUCAGCAAUGUUGCCUGACACAAAAUCCACAUAAAAAAAUCAAUUGUGUUACUAAUCAUGCACAAAACAGUAGUUGAAAUAGUAUUUUAAAAAAUAUUAUUGAUUUAUUUUUUAAAAUCCUCUACUGGUAUACUUAAGAUUUGGUACAUUUUACUACAUGAAAAAAUAUUAUUGAUGUAUAUUUUAAACUCAUCUACUGGUAUACUUAAGAUCUAUACAUUUUACUAUAUGAAAAUUUUGCCUAGAAAAGAACUAUAAACAAAUCUUAAACUCUAAUGUGUAAGCUGAAUUGUAGUAAUGUCUUCAUUUUACUUUGAAAUGCAAGAACAAAAAAUAUGAUGGAUUGAUGAAUAGCUAGAAAGAUAGACAUGUGAUAAAGCAUGUAAAAUGUUAAUUAUAGAAUCUAGGUCAGGGAUUAGCAAACUGUUUCUAUGCAGGGCCAUAUGACAAAUAUUUUUAGCUUUGUGGGCCAUGCAGUCUCUAUCGCAACUACUCAAUUCUGCCAAUGCAGAACAAAACAGCUAUACAUAAUAGGUCAAUGAAUAGGUGUGACUUGAUUUUGCUAAUAGAUCAUAUCAAUGCUUGAUGUAGGUGGUAAGUUGUUCACUGUAAAUGCUUUUCAACUUUUCUGUUUAAAAAUUUUUAUAAUAAAAUGUUGGAAAAAAUCAUACUCAUACUUACAUAUAUAUAUAUAUUCUAUAUACAAGAGCAAUAAUAAAUUACCUUAGAAAUAAAUCUGAUAACUGAUAUACAGACAUUAAAAAUAAAAUUGUUAUAUAAAAUAAGACAAAUAAAUGACAUAUUUAUUUAAGCAUGUUCAAGAAAUAAAACCCUACAUUUUAAAUACAUCAAUUCUCUACAAAUUAACUUAUCAAUUCAAUGCAAUGUCAAUCAAAACCCUAUAAUUUUUUAUGAAGUUCUUUAUGAUGAUUAUAAAAAUCAGCUAGUAGAGGAAGAUGUUAAAGAGUUCCUACUCCAUUUUGAGGACAAAAAAACUGAAGGUCUUCCCUUGCUAGAUAUCAACAGUUCACAUAAAACUACAGAUUAAGGCAAUGUGGUAUUUGCUAAAAUUAGAAAAACAGGCCAACAAAUCAGAAUAUCAAGGCCCAGAAACAUAUCCAUAUACAUAGAAAAAGUUGGUAUUAUAGAUCAAAAAAGUGAAGAGAAAACUAUUCAAUAUAUGGUACUGAGACAAGGGGUAUUUUUUUAAUCAAUGAAAUAUGAUAUUGGAUACCUUCCUUACAACUUAAUCUAAAAUAAAUUCUAGGUGGAUUAAAGAACUAAAUGUGAAACAAUUAUUUAAAUCUUUUAUAAGGAAAUAUAUAAAAACAUUAUAAAACAUACUUAUAACCUUGCUAUUACUUUAAAUAAGUUACAAGAAAAAAUAUAUCAAAAUAUAUUUGACUAUAAAAGAAAAUACUGAUAAAAAUUUAGAAUUCUAUUCAAUAAAAGAAUCAAAAAGUUGAAGGAAAAGCCACAGAUUAGAAUAUAUUUCCAUGACAUACAGCUCACAAAGAUACGAUAUCAGGGACAUAGUUUCAAAAGUCCUCAAAUCAAUAAGAAAUCACUCAACAGAAAAACUGACAAGAGAUAUGAACUAGUAAUACAUAGAAGAGGUAGGUGAACUGCUAGAAUAUGUGAAAAGACUUACAACUGCACUAUAAUCAGGAAAUUAAAAAUUAGUAUUACAGCAAAAUACCUUUCCAUACCAUUAGAUUAACAAUUUUUUAAAAUGUGAUAAAAGAAAGUGUUACCAGGUAAAUAAAGAAAUGAGAACAGUUACCCAAUGAUGGCGAAAAGAUAAACUGAUAAAAUCAUUUUUGUGAACAAUCAGGUAAUAAAGCUGAAGUUGUACAGAUGCAAUUCUACUCUGGGGCACAUAUUUUACAGAAGCUCUCCCAUAUUUUGUGAAAUCAAAGAGGC
Molecule: long non-coding RNA, 3043 nt
Filed under: Homo sapiens (human)
Lineage: Eukaryota; Metazoa; Chordata; Mammalia; Primates; Hominidae
Description: HSALNT0321286
Source: RNAcentral